GACGAACGCUGGCGGCGUGCCUAACACAUGCAAGUCGAACGAUCUGGUAGCAAUACCAGGGAGUGGCGAACGGGUGAGUCACACGUAAGCAAUCUACCCUGAAGACGGGGAUAACCUUGGGAAACUAGGGCUAAUACCCGAUAUGCUCACACAAUGGACUCAUUCAGUGAGGAAAUGGCUUUUCGCUUUAAGAGGAGCUUGGGUCGGAUUAGUUAGUGGGCAGGGUAAUGGCCUACCACGACGAUGAGCAGUAGCCGACCUGAGAGGGGGGUCGGCAAAACUGGGAAUGAGACACGGCCCAGACUCAUACGGGAGGCAGCAGUAGGGAAUCUUCCGCAAUGGACGAAAGUCUGACGGAGCAACGCCGCGUGAGUGAUGAAGGCUUUCGGGUCGUAAAACUCUGUUGUUAGGGAAGAACAAGUGCUAGUUGAAUAAGCUGGCACCUUGACGGUACCUAACCAGAAAGCCACGGCUAACUACGUGCCAGCCGCCGCAGUAA
This 499-nucleotide ribosomal RNA is filed under the name uncultured bacterium. RNAcentral describes it as "partial 16S ribosomal RNA". It matches the Rfam family "Bacterial small subunit ribosomal RNA", at positions 28 to 523 of the family's 1533-position model. The record is from RNAcentral.